GAUGAACGCUGGCGGCGUGCUUAACACAUGCAAGUCGAACGGGGGACAAUUUAAAGAAGCUUCGGCAGAUUUAGCUUGUUCCUAGUGGCGGACGGGUGAGUAACGCGUGGGUAACCUGCCUCACACUGGGGGAUAACAGUCAGAAAUGACUGCUAAUACCGCAUAAGCGCACAGAGCCGCAUGGCUCAGUGUGAAAAACUCCGGUGGUGUGAGAUGGACCCGCGUUGGAUUAGCCAGUUGGCAGGGUAACGGCCUACCAAAGCGACGAUCCAUAGCCGGCCUGAGAGGGUGGACGGCCACAUUGGGACUGAGACACGGCCCAGACUCCUACGGGAGGCAGCAGUGGGGAAUAUUGCACAAUGGGGGAAACCCUGAUGCAGCGACGCCGCGUGAAGGAAGAAGUAUCUCGGUAUGUAAACUUCUAUCAGCAGGGAAGAAA
RNAcentral lists this ribosomal RNA (439 nucleotides) under uncultured bacterium. Its description in RNAcentral is "bacterial SSU rRNA". It matches the Rfam family "Bacterial small subunit ribosomal RNA", at positions 28 to 450 of the family's 1533-position model. The record is from RNAcentral.